AUUGAACGCUGGCGGCAGGCCUAACACAUGCAAGUCGAACGGUAACAGGAAGCAGCUUGCUGCUUCGCUGACGAGUGGCGGACGGGUGAGUAAUGUCUGGGAAACUGCCUGAUGGAGGGGGAUAACUACUGGAAACGGUAGCUAAUACCGCAUAACGUCGCAAGACCAAAUAGGGGGACCUUCGGGCCUCUUACCAUCGGAUGUGCCCAGAUGGGAUUAGCUAGUAGGUGGGGUAACGGCUCACCUAGGCGACGAUCCCUAGCUGGUCUGGGAGGAUGACCAGCCACACUGGAACUGAGACACGGUCCAGACUCCUACGGGAGGCAGCAGUGGGAAUAUUGCACAAUGGGCGCAAGCCUGAUGCAGCCAUGCCGCGUGUAUGAAGAAGGCCUUCGGGUUGUAAAGUACUUUCAGCGGGGAGGAAGGCGAUAAGGUUAAUAACCUUGUCGAUUGACGUUACCCGCAGAAGAAGCACCGGCUAACUCCGUGCCAGCAGCCGCAGUAA
Molecule: ribosomal RNA, 505 nt
Filed under: uncultured bacterium
Lineage: Bacteria
Description: partial 16S ribosomal RNA
Rfam family: Bacterial small subunit ribosomal RNA
Source: RNAcentral